Non-coding RNA from Pseudomonas brenneri, 180 nucleotides. The record is from Rfam. Lineage: Bacteria; Pseudomonadati; Pseudomonadota; Gammaproteobacteria; Pseudomonadales; Pseudomonadaceae.
ACCCCGGUAUUAUUGCUGUUAUGGGUUUGAAUCGAGCUUAGCCUUGUUCAUUUUUUUACACAACACCCCCGUAAAAAAUACAACACGGCCCGCUCAAGCCUGCUAGUCCCAAGCCGGUCAAACUGGCAAAACUGCCCAAAAAAGCCGCAAAAAACCCCUCAAGGCGCUUUUUUAGGGCAA